UGGGGAAUAUUGCGCAAUGGGGGCAACCCUGACGCAGCAAUGCCGCGUGCGGGAUGACGGCCUUCGGGUUGUAAACCGCUUUCAGCAGGGAAGAUAGUGACGGUACCUGCACAAGAAGCCCCGGCUAACUACGUGCCAGCAGCCGCGGUAACACGUAGGGGGCGAGCGUUAUCCGGAUUCAUUGGGCGUAAAGCGCGCGCAGGCGGCCGUCUAAGCGGGACCUCUAAUCUCAGGGCUUAACCUUGAGCCGGGUCCCGAACUGGGUGGCUCGGGUGCGGUAGGGGUAGGCGGAAUUCCCGGUGUAGCGGUGGAAUGCGCAGAUAUCGGGAAGAACACCGACGGCGAAGGCAGCCUACUGGGCCGUCACCGACGCUGAGGCGCGAAAGCUAGGGGAGCGAACAGG
RNAcentral lists this ribosomal RNA (403 nucleotides) under uncultured bacterium. RNAcentral's name for it is "bacterial SSU rRNA". It matches the Rfam family "Bacterial small subunit ribosomal RNA", at positions 355 to 776 of the family's 1533-position model. The record is from RNAcentral.